UGGCGAGUGGCGGACGGGUGAGGAAUACAUCGGAAUCUACUUUUUCGUGGGGGAUAACGUAGGGAAACUUACGCUAAUACCGCAUACGACCUACGGGUGAAAGCAGGGGAUCUUCGGACCUUGCGCGAUUGAAUGAGCCGAUGUCGGAUUAGCUAGUUGGCGGGGUAAAGGCCCACCAAGGCGACGAUCCGUAGCUGGUCUGAGAGGAUGAUCAGCCACACUGGAACUGAGACACGGUCCAGACUCCUACGGGAGGCAGCAGUGGGGAAUAUUGGACAAUGGGCGCAAGCCUGAUCCAGCCAUACCGCGUGGGUGAAGAAGGCCUUCGGGUUGUAAAGCCCUUUUGUUGGGAAAGAAAUCCAGCUGGCUAAUACCCGGUUGGGAUGACGGUACCCAAAGAAUAAGCACCGGCUAACUUCGUGCCAGCAGCCGCGGUAAUACGAAGGGUGCAAGCGUUACUCGGAAUUACUGGGCGUAAAGCGUGCGUAGGUGGUCGUUUAAGUCCGUUGUGAAAGCCCUGGGCUCAACCUGGGAACUGCAGUGGAUACUGGGCGACUAGAGUGUGGUAGAGGGUAGCGGAAUUCCUGGUGUAGCAGUGAAAUGCGUAGAGAUCAGGAGGAACAUCCAUGGCGAAGGCAGCUACCUGGACCAACACUGACACUGAGGCACGAAAGCGUGGGGAGCAAACAGGAUUAGAUACCCUUGGUAGUCCACGCCCUAAACGAUGCGAACUGGAUGUUGGGUGCAAUUUGGCACGCAGUAUCGA
This 766-nucleotide ribosomal RNA is filed under the name Stenotrophomonas sp. DH61. RNAcentral describes it as "bacterial SSU rRNA". It matches the Rfam family "Bacterial small subunit ribosomal RNA", at positions 89 to 849 of the family's 1533-position model. Lineage: Bacteria; Pseudomonadati; Pseudomonadota; Gammaproteobacteria; Lysobacterales; Lysobacteraceae. The record is from RNAcentral.